GUAGGUGGCAAGCGUUGUCCGGAAUUAUUGGGCGUAAAGCGCGCGCAGGCGGUUCUUUAAGUCUGAUGUGAAAGCCCACGGCUCAACCGUGGAGGGUCAUUGGAAACUGGAGAACUUGAGUACAGAAGAGGAAAGCGGAAUUCCACGUGUAGCGGUGAAAUGCGUAGAGAUGUGGAGGAACACCAGUGGCGAAGGCGGCUUUCUGGUCUGUAACUGACGCUGAGGCGCGAAAGCGUGGGGAGCAAACAGGGAUUAGAUACCCUGGUAGUCCACGCCGUAAACGAUGAGUGCUAAGUGUUAGGGGGUUUCCGCCCCCUUAGUGCUGCAGCUAACGCAUUAAGCACUCCGCCUGGGGAUACGGCCGCAAGGUUG
This 372-nucleotide ribosomal RNA is filed under the name uncultured organism. RNAcentral's name for it is "partial 16S ribosomal RNA". It matches the Rfam family "Bacterial small subunit ribosomal RNA", at positions 527 to 896 of the family's 1533-position model. The record is from RNAcentral.